AGAGUUUGAUUAUGGCUCAGGAUGAACGCUAGCGACAGGCUUAACACAUGCAAGUCGAGGGCAGCAUAAAAGUAGCAAUACUUGGUGGCGACCGGCGCACGGGUGAGUAACGCGUAUGCAACCUACCUAUCAGAGGGGAAUAACCCGGCGAAAGUCGGACUAAUACCGCAUAAAACAGGGGCACCGCAUGGUGAUAUUUGUUAAAGAAAUUCGCUGAUAGAUGGGCAUGCGUUCCAUUAGGUAGUUGGUGAGGUAACGGCUCACCAAGCCGACGAUGGAUAGGGGAACUGAGAGGUUGGUCCCCCACACUGGUACUGAGACACGGACCAGACUCCUACGGGAGGCAGCAGUGAGGAAUAUUGGUCAAUGGGCGGGAGCCUGAACCAGCCAAGUCGCGUGAAGGAAAGAAGGAUCUAUGGUUCGUAAACUUCUUUUGCAGGGGAAUAAAGUGCAGGACGUGUCCUGUUUUGUAUGUACCCUGAGAAUAAGGAUCGGCUAACUCCGUGCCAGCAGCAGC
RNAcentral lists this ribosomal RNA (517 nucleotides) under uncultured bacterium. RNAcentral's name for it is "bacterial SSU rRNA". It matches the Rfam family "Bacterial small subunit ribosomal RNA", at positions 8 to 518 of the family's 1533-position model. The record is from RNAcentral.